UAGAGUUUGAUCCUGGCUCAGAGCGAACGCUGGCGGCAGGCUUAACACAUGCAAGUCGAGCGGGCGUAGCAAUACGUCAGCGGCAGACGGGUGAGUAACGCGUGGGAACGUACCUUUUGGUUCGGAACAACACAGGGAAACUUGUGCUAAUACCGGAUAAGCCCUUACGGGGAAAGAUUUAUCGCCGAAAGAUUGGCCCGCGUCUGAUUAGCUAGUUGGUGAGGUAACGGCUCACCAAGGCGACGAUCAGUAGCUGGUCUGAGAGGAUGAUCAGCCACAUUGGGACUGAGACACGGCCCAAACUCCUACGGGAGGCAGCAGUGGGGAAUAUUGGACAAUGGGCGCAAGCCUGAUCCAGCCAUGCCGCGUGAGUGAUGAAGGCCCUAGGGUUGUAAAGCUCUUUUGUGCGGGAAGAUAAUGACGGUACCGCAAGAAUAAGCCCCGGCUAACUUCGUGCCAGCAGCCGCGGUAA
This 472-nucleotide ribosomal RNA is filed under the name uncultured bacterium. RNAcentral's name for it is "bacterial SSU rRNA". It matches the Rfam family "Bacterial small subunit ribosomal RNA", at positions 1 to 523 of the family's 1533-position model. The record is from RNAcentral.